This is a long non-coding RNA of Nothoprocta perdicaria, 2171 nucleotides long. RefSeq lists it as uncharacterized. NCBI's taxonomy places the organism in Eukaryota, Metazoa, Chordata, Aves, Tinamiformes, Tinamidae. The transcript has 3 exons. The record is from RefSeq and is a predicted model, not a curated record.
AAAGAUAAUUGAAGAAACCUGCAUGUAAGCCCUUAAACUUCCUCAUAUGAAGAGGUGGAAGUGGAUGGAGGGACCCUAAAACAACCCAUUUGGACUUGGGAAUAAAAGUCCUUAUUUCAGGAUUCUAGCAUACGUGAGGACCCAGCGGAGCAGUUUGAGCCAGCAGUCUGCUCUCAAUCUGUACAGCCAGCUCAUUUAAGCAAACUUGAGCAAGAAUGGAAACAUUAGAUCAUGCUUUAUGAUCCUCUAAAACCUGGGCUAGUUUUAGCCUUCUAAAAGUCGAAUGUAAAACACUGGCAUGCUGCUGCCAACCUGCCUGUCCUCUUUGACCCGCAGAACACAUGCAGGAGGAAAGCUAUAAGCUUUGGUCUGGAAGCUAUGGUUUUUCAACAUAAAGAGAUUCUGUCCCAAUGCCUUUGCAUUUCACUGGUCUCUCAGCCUGAGUGGGAAGAAGGCUUUCUGUUGGUAGCUACAGUGGAGCAAUGGAGUUGGAACUCUAUUUUUUUUAUGAAAGCCAAAACAUUGGAUUAUAUCUGUUUAUGUGGCAGGCAUGUACUGCCCUUCCCUUAGAUGAAUUUCACUGCUUGGCUUUAAGACAUGAGGGAUAACAAUGUGUAGCUUUCCCUGAAAAUCACUCAGGCCAGACCCUUAAAAUUAGCACCUACAUCUGAAAAAGCUCAUAGCUUAUCGUAUGCUUCACCCAUAGUAUCCCUAAGCAGCAAGCUAAAGCAAGCAUAAGACACAUCUGCAGCCCUGCAGACAUUUAGUUUGAACUAGCAGCCUGAAGCUUUCCUACAGGGAGAACUCCAGCAAACAGCAGACCUCGGUAGAAGUUGCAGGAGUUCAAUAACUUUGUGAUGUAAGGAUAACCAUCCUUAUUGACAAUAUCUGAAGCAAUGCAUGAUAUGAAGAUUUUUCAUUAACUAUAUAGGAGGCUUUUAUGAUGCUGGAUCUAUAUUGUAGUCUAUCAAAGUGGAAAGCUGUAUGUCAAUUCCUAUGUAGCAAAUCAUGAUAUACAUUUGAAAACAUGUUUGCAAAUGGUCAGCUGGCAAGUGUACUGUGCACUGGUCCAUCUGUUUCCCCAGUAACUGGGUCAGCCACUACAGAAGAGACUGUUUGACCCCUGCAGUGACAGAAGCCAUGACCUCAUGAAGAAAGUCUGUAUCUGACUGGAUUUUGACACUGGGAUAGAGGGGGGGAAAAAGUGCUUUUUAUAGAACCAGCUGGAACUGGCAGAUGCCUGUUAGCCACCUUUACAUCUUGGUUUGUGGAGCAAUGCUAACUGCUCGUCAGCAAUGAUGGUGAAGGAGAAGUAGGAAAGAAGAUCUGCAAGUUGCUGUUGCAGAUCUGAUGCAUCCCACCUAAAGAGGCUGCAGUUAGGACUUGCUGCUUUCCUAGGAAGCUCUACCACUCUAGCAUCACUGUGUGUGGAAAAAGUGCUACUGGGAGGGUGCCAAUAUAUUAGGAAGUGUUAUGGUGGCUGUUUUAAUUUAAUGUUUCAGUUUUCAAGAACUGAUAACAGUACUGAUAUCUUCUCUGAGAUGACUGGUUACAAAAAAUGCCAUGUUAUAACUACUCCUAUGUUACAUUUUUUGUGAGAAGAGAAUCAAGCUUAUGCUUUCUAUAUUAAUUUUCUCUUCUCCUUCCGCCUCUCAGGCCCAAGUACCCAUUACAAGAAGUUCACAGGGAUUAUAACUCUUUCCUAUCCCUAACAAUUUUAAAGCUAGAGUGGCUGUUUUCCUCAAAGUUAGGCUCUAGUACAAACAAGAAAACUUUGUCACAAAAACGUUACCUAAUCAGCAUGGAUAUUUAUCUUUAACUGCUAGGAAUCUUUGUUUUUUUUCUUUGUGGACAGGCACCAUUACAAACUGUACAGAAAGAGUUCCCAGGGGUUUAGAUGUCUGUGGUGUCUUGACCAUGUCUGCCAUACAGAACCAGGUACAUGGUUUUUGUAGUGAAAUUCUAUAGUGUCUUUGUGGACAUAAAUAUAUAGAUAGUAUGUAAAAACUGAGCAAAGCUUUCCCUCAAAUGUGAGGGAAACAGAUUACGUAGAGUUUAAGCAUCAGAAAGAAAUACAUAUUCUCAGAAUGCAUUCCAAAAAGUGAGAAGACAAAAAAAAGCUGAGUGUUUAAUGUAAUUUCUAAUACCUCAUGCUGUCCCAAUAGUUGAAG